Molecule: long non-coding RNA, 3300 nt
Filed under: Heterocephalus glaber (naked mole-rat)
Lineage: Eukaryota; Metazoa; Chordata; Mammalia; Rodentia; Bathyergidae
Description: lncRNA (ENSHGLG00000050192.1)
Source: RNAcentral
AUUCUGUUCUACAUUUUCCCUAGCAAAUCCAAUUAUAGAAUUAUUUGGGGGCUCAAAUGGCCACUGGCUACAAUGGAGCAGGCAAUUGCUCUAGAGAGUAAUUCUGUCUGACAGGAAGGUUUACAAAAAGGCAUUCAUAAAGUAUUUACGCUAGUGGGAAGACAUGCUGUUCUCACCAUGUUGUCACAGUUUCUGAAAAGACAAAGAAAUAAAAGCGGCUCCGCCUCUCCCUGCUGUGAAGUGUUCAUGUGGGGACUAGGUUUGAAAAAGGCCUGACUUCCUGCAAUGUUGAGGUGCAGUAUUGUUAGAAACUGCUGUCACGUGCAUUUGAGCCUCCAGCAUUUGAGCCUCCAGCUUGUCACCGUUUACCUGAGGUUGCAGUGAUGGUGGGGUUCAGAGGAGGUCACUUAGCAUCAAAGUGGUCCAGUCCUCACCAGCUUGUGCUUCAUGCUCUGGUUUGGACUGUGUCAGGCUCUAUUCUUUGACCUGAUUAUCCCUUUGGAAAGUGACUACCUUAGCUUUCGUCAUUGUAGACACCCAUAGAAUUUUUCCUGCUUAUUCAGAUGCUUCUUUGGUCCUCUUUUGGCUCUGUCCUAAUGUGAAUGGUGAUAUUAAUAGAGAUGGUCAUAGCAGGAACAAUAACAAUGUAGGUAAUUUUUAUUGAGUGAACGAAGAUUCGGUGAAGUUAUGUGAUUAUGCUGAGGUCUUAUAGCUAUUACAAAACCAGAGCCAUAGUUCAGCCUGGGGCCUCUGAUAGUGAAGAAUAGAGGAAGAUGGUGGAGAGAUACAUUUAUGAAUUUAAAAAAAUUAUAUGACAUUCUCCUAAGUAGAUCAUUAGCAGGAGAAAAAGGUAGUGCUGUAGAGUAAGAAGAGUGGGAACUUCUGGGAGAAUUGGCCAUACCUUGUCUACAAGGAGCUUAAACAUUUCAGGUAGUUGGUGUAUAGUAGGAUGCUUUCAGCUGCAGAUAAGAAAAUCUGAGUAAAACAGGCAUAAACAAGAGGGUUUAUGUUUUCUUACAUAACAGGAACUCUAGAGGCAAGAAGUCACGAGGCAGGUUUUAUGGCUCGGUAACAGUAAGGUUUGGGGCUGGUGUCUGUGAUGACUGUGGUAAUUAUCAGCCUUCCAUCCUCUGUAGGAAGUGUCCAAAACAUGGGGAGGGAAAGGCUGGGCUUCUUUCUGGCCUUCUGUUUUUAAGGGGUGGAAAAUCUUUCCCUGACCCGCAGCAGGCUUCCUUUUGGGUCUUGGUGGCCCGAAGGGGCCCCUGACCAUGUUCUCACUUCAAGGUGUCUGGGAGAACAGGGGUCUGGCAGCUUGGUUGUUGUGUAGGGAGUGUUCUCAGUCGGCAUGGAGGCUGGGAGGGGAAUGUCGGCCUGCUGCAUGGAGAAGGCAGCUGCGAAUGUGAACAUUAUAAUGGUGUGGAUGAGAGAGCUGGGUGUGUGUGUGUGUGUGUGUGUGUGUGUGUGUGUGUGUGUGUGUGGAGCUGUCCAGCAGGAGGUGUCAUCUGAGCUGGAUUUAGGGGAAGGAUGAGAUUUUAGCGGACAGACAAGAGCUUGGUGAGGUAUUUAUGGAGGAGAAAGUGACCUCCAACCCAGUCUGUCUAGCUUUAGACUCUAAUGUUUACAUUACACACUUAGAGGCAGUGAAUUUGAGCCAAGAAUAGAAAGAGUGUGCCUCUGACGGAUGAAGAGGAUGGUGAGCAUUCUACACAAAGGGAGAGUGUCAUUCUGCAGUCAGGAAGGGCUGUGACCACAUGGGCAGACAUGGCCCAGGCACUCGGGUGUGAGUGGACAUGGAGUGGGGUUUGCUACAGUUGGAGCUGGCCUGUAGAGAUCCCCAGAUUCUAGACGGAGAAGUGUGGGCCUUGCAUUUAGUUUGUCCCAUUGUCUUUUGGGAUUGUGUGUAGGAUGAUAACCCCAUUGGCAGAAGCUGGGAGGGAGGUCUAGAGCAAGAUGUUAAAGCCUGAACCUUAUGGACACAAGAGUUGGUCAGGGUCCAAGGCAUUUUGGAGGAAGAAUCAGCUAUCGGGAUGGCCUGAUUGGGCAGUGGGGCAAAGAGGAGUUUAGUAUGGCUUGCUUGGUGUCAGGUGCUGGCUUGGGUGAGGGAUUGUGCUGAUACCAUCAUCUGGGGCAUGGAACAGAGGGGAGAGAAAGGUCUGGAGGGGGCCGAGUUACCUCAGGCCGUGUAGGGAGCUGGCUGUAGAGGUUGAGACUGUCUCCCACUCCUCUCACCCUGGCCCAGGUCUCUGCUUUGUUCAUCUUUAGGGCAGGUUAAGAUAUGGGAAGCCCUCUCUUGCCUCCUCGUUUAAGCCCACUCUCAGUUCCCUUUAGGCUCUGGCAAUACCUUAUGUAGGCCACAGAGGAAUUUCCAUUGCAUGUUUCAUUUCCUCGUUGUUAAAAUUGCUGUCUAGGAGGUUCCAUCCUGUUUAUGUGUGUUUUUGUAGGUUCUACAAACAUUUUUGCAUAUGGUUCAGAGCUGCACAAUUCUCUGACAUCAGAAAUACAUUUCCUGAGGAAGCAGAACCAGGAGCUCAACAUGAUGCUAGUGAAGGGGUCCCAAGGUAAGAAUGAGAGGAGCCACCUGCAGCCUAGGCCCUGAAGCCUCCGUGUCAGGCAAAGAAUGCAAGUGUUGGAAUCUGACCAAGUGAGGUUCGAAUCCUGUGGCUCAGUGACAGCUUUACUCCGUCUAAUUGCCACAAGAGCCUUUUGAGGCACUCUUGUUUUAUAGCUGAGAAAUCGGCCUCAGAGAGGUUAAGGAAUACCUCCUAGGGCUGUUGUGACAAUUAAUGGAGUAGAGCCCUCAGCAGCAUCUCAGCCAGGCCCUCAGUAAAUGUUACUGUAUCUACUUGUCAGUCAUCCCCCAUCCAGCCACCUUGCAUUCAUCUUGGUUCACAGAGGAAGAGAGAAGGGCUGAAAAUAUAUUACUACCAGAAUCUCAACCAGGGAUUUCCUACACCAGUGAGGUUUAUCCAGUAUUCCUUCUAAAAAUCCCUUCUCUUAAUUCCCUCUGUUUGGAGCUGAGCUCCUGAAGAGCUUUCACUUGUGAUAUCUUUCAGUACUUAAAAUGAUCCUUGCAUCAGGUAUUAUUAGCUGUCUUUCACAAGUCAGAAGCAGAGACCUGGAGAGCUGCACUGCUGUGUAGUCCCAGGACUAGAAGAUAUAGAGCUAGAACUUGGACCAGCCUACCCCACUUUUCCUAGAGAAUAUUGAUGCUGAUUUGGCUUUAAGGGCCCCAAACUUAGAGCCUCUGCAUUCAUUCACUCAGCAACAUUCCCUGUCUCCUAUUCUCCUGUGUCAGAGCUG